GGGGGAAUUUUGGACAAUGGGCGCAAGCCUGAUCCAGCCAUGCCGCGUGAGUGAAGAAGGCCUUCGGGUUGUAAAGCUCUUUCGGUGGGGAAGAAAUUGCACGGGAUAAUACCCUGUGUAGAUGACGGUACCUGCAGAAGAAGCACCCGCUAACUACGUGCCAGCAGCCGCGGUAAUACAUAGGGUGCGAGCGUUUAUUGGAAUUAUUGGGCGUAAAGAGUGCGCGGGCGGUUGGAUAAGUCAGUUGUGAAAUCCCCGGGCUCAACCUGGGAACUGCAUUUGAGAGUGCCCAGCUGUAGUUUGGCAGAGGGGGGUGGAAUUCCUCGUGUAGCAGUGAAAUACGUAGAGAUAUGGAGGAACACCCAUGGCGAAGGCAGCCCCCUGGGCCAAUACUGACGCUCAUGCACGAAAGCGUGGGGAGCAAACAGGAUUAGAUACCCUGGUAGUCCACGCCCUAAACGAUGUCAACUAGGUGUUGGGAGGGUUAAACCUUUUAGUGCCGUAGCUAACGCGUUAAGUGACCAGCCCUA
RNAcentral lists this ribosomal RNA (530 nucleotides) under bacterium enrichment culture SBR_L_B22. RNAcentral's name for it is "bacterial SSU rRNA". It matches the Rfam family "Bacterial small subunit ribosomal RNA", at positions 355 to 873 of the family's 1533-position model. The record is from RNAcentral.